AUUGAACGCUGGCGGCAUGCCUUACACAUGCAAGUCGAACGGCAGCGGACCUUCGGGUGCCGGCGAGUGGCGAACGGGUGAGUAAUAUAUCGGAACGUACCUUUCAGUGGGGGAUAACGUAGCGAAAGUUACGCUAAUACCGCAUAUUCUGUGAGCAGGAAAGCAGGGGAUCGCAAGACCUUGCGCUGAUUGAGCGGCCGAUAUCAGAUUAGCUAGUUGGUGAGGUAAAGGCUCACCAAGGCGACGAUCUGUAGCGGGUCUGAGAGGAUGAUCCGCCACACUGGAACUGAGACACGGUCCAGACUCCUACGGGAGGCAGCAGUGGGGAAUUUUGGACAAUGGGCGCAAGCCUGAUCCAGCCAUGCCGCGUGAGUGAAGAAGGCCUUCGGGUUGUAAAGCUCUUUCGGCCGGGAAGAAAUCGCACAGGUUAGUACCCUGUGUGGAUGACGGUACCGGAAUAAGAAGCACCGGCUAACUACGUG
RNAcentral lists this ribosomal RNA (482 nucleotides) under uncultured bacterium. RNAcentral describes it as "bacterial SSU rRNA". It matches the Rfam family "Bacterial small subunit ribosomal RNA", at positions 30 to 507 of the family's 1533-position model. The record is from RNAcentral.